CCUACGGGGGGCAGCAGUGGGGAAUAUUGGACAAUGGGCGAAAGCCUGAUCCAGCCAUGCCGCGUGUGUGAAGAAGGCCUUCGGGUUGUAAAGCACUUUCAGUGGGGAAGAAAGCCUUGGGGCUAAUACCCUCGAGGAAGGACAUCACCCACAGAAGAAGCACCGGCUAACUCCGUGCCAGCAGCCGCGGUAAUACGGAGGGUGCGAGCGUUAAUCGGAAUUACUGGGCGUAAAGCGCGCGUAGGCGGUCUGAUAAGCCGGUUGUGAAAGCCCCGGGCUCAACCUGGGAACGGCAUCCGGAACUGUCAGGCUAGAGUGCAGGAGAGGAAGGUAGAAGUCCAGGUGUAGCGGUGAAAUGCGUAGAGAUCGGGAGGAAUACCAGUGGCGAAGGCGGCCUUCUGGACUGACACUGACGCUGAGGUGCGAAAGCGUGGGUAGCAAACAGGAUUAGAUACCCUAGUAGUC
Molecule: ribosomal RNA, 465 nt
Filed under: Vreelandella stevensii
Lineage: Bacteria; Pseudomonadati; Pseudomonadota; Gammaproteobacteria; Oceanospirillales; Halomonadaceae
Description: partial 16S ribosomal RNA
Rfam family: Bacterial small subunit ribosomal RNA
Source: RNAcentral